GAUGAACGCUAGCUACAGGCUUAACACAUGCAAGUCGUGGGGCAUCAUGAUGUAGUAAUACAUUGAUGGCGACCGGCGCACGGGUGAGUAACGCGUAUCCAACCUACCCUCCACUCAAGUAUAGGCUUCCGAAAGGGAGAUUAAUCCUUGAUAUCGUCAUUCUCUCUCCUGUUAGAAUGAUAAAAGGACAUCGUUUCGGUAGAGGAUGGGGAUGCGUUCCAUUAGGUAGUAGGUGGUUUAACAGGCCACCUAGCCGAUGAUGGAUAGGGGUUCUGAGAGGAAUAUCCCCCACACUGGUACUGAGAUACGGACCAGACUCCUACGGGAGGCAGCAGUGAGGAAUAUUGGUCAAUGGGCGCAAGCCUGAACCAGCCAUGUAGCGUGAAGGAUGACGGUUUUUUUGAUUGUAAACUUCUUUUCUGUGCGAUUAAAGUGUGGCAUUUAUGCCAUAUUGCAG
RNAcentral lists this ribosomal RNA (457 nucleotides) under Bacteroidetes bacterium oral taxon 272. Its description in RNAcentral is "bacterial SSU rRNA". It matches the Rfam family "Bacterial small subunit ribosomal RNA", at positions 28 to 474 of the family's 1533-position model. Lineage: Bacteria; Pseudomonadati; Bacteroidota. The record is from RNAcentral.